Molecule: unclassified non-coding RNA, 355 nt
Filed under: Hevea brasiliensis (rubber tree)
Lineage: Eukaryota; Viridiplantae; Streptophyta; Magnoliopsida; Malpighiales; Euphorbiaceae
Source: RNAcentral
CAGAGUUUGGAAACAAUAUGCCUUCUGCUUGCAUACAAAAUCAAAUAUCCUGAAAACUUCUUUCUCUUGAGAGGAAAUCAUGAAUGUGCUUCUAUUAAUCGAAUUUAUGGUUUCUAUGAUGAAUGUAAGCGCCGAUUCAAUGUGAGGCUGUGGAAAGUCUUCACUGAUUGUUUCAACUGUCUUCCCGUGGCAGCUCUUAUAGAUGAUAAAAUACUUUGCAUGCAUGGUGGUCUUUCUCCUGAUCUAACAGACAUGGAUCUGAUACGAAAUUUACCUCGUCCUACAGAUGUUCCAGAUUCCGGUUUGCUUUGUGAUUUACUUUGGUCAGAUCCUAGUAGGGAAGUUAAAGGUUGGG